UACGUAGGGGGCUAGCGUUGUCCGGAAUCAUUGGGCGUAAAGCGCGCGUAGGCGGCCCGGUAAGUCCGUUGUGAAAGUCAAAGGCUCAACCUUUGAAAGCCGAUGGAUACUGCCGGGCUAGAGUCCGGAAGAGGCGAGUGGAAUUCCAGGUGUAGCGGUGAAAUGCGUAGAUAUCUGGAGGAAUACCGGUGGCGAAGGCGGCAUCCUGGACCGGCAUUGACGCUGAGGAGCGAAAGCCAGGGGAGCAAACGGG
RNAcentral lists this ribosomal RNA (253 nucleotides) under uncultured bacterium. RNAcentral's name for it is "partial 16S ribosomal RNA". It matches the Rfam family "Bacterial small subunit ribosomal RNA", at positions 524 to 776 of the family's 1533-position model. The record is from RNAcentral.